UACAACCAUGUCAAAAUGAAACAACUGUUCUCGUCCGAUCACCGAUGUUAAGCAACACUGAACCUAGUCAGUACCUAGAUGGGUGACAGCUUGGGAAUACCAGGUCUUGUAA
Non-coding RNA from Acanthosepion pharaonis, 112 nucleotides. The record is from the annotation of a GenBank genome assembly. Lineage: Eukaryota; Metazoa; Mollusca; Cephalopoda; Sepiida; Sepiidae.